GCCGCUUUAGCUCAGUGGUUAGAGCAUUCGCCUAGUAAGCGAAAGGUCGGCGGUUCAAUCCCGCCAAGUGGCU
Molecule: transfer RNA, 73 nt
Organism: Tetrahymena thermophila SB210
Lineage: Eukaryota; Ciliophora; Oligohymenophorea; Hymenostomatida; Tetrahymenidae
Rfam family: tRNA
About the family: Transfer RNA (tRNA) molecules are approximately 80 nucleotides in length. Their secondary structure includes four short double-helical elements and three loops (D, anti-codon, and T loops).
Source: Rfam